RNAcentral lists this transfer RNA (404 nucleotides) under uncultured Microcystis sp. RNAcentral's name for it is "bacterial LSU rRNA". The stretch from base 135 to 208 matches the Rfam family "tRNA". Lineage: Bacteria; Bacillati; Cyanobacteriota; Cyanophyceae; Chroococcales; Microcystaceae. The record is from RNAcentral.
AAGGGAGACCUAAUUCAGGUAGGAGACGAAAAAAAAGUAGUCGCUACCGAGAAUCAAUCCCAAAAGGUCGGAGCGAGGCGAAAUUGGCUUUCAAACUAGGUUCUGGGUUCACACAAGACCUGAAUCAGGAACAAGGGCUAUUAGCUCAGGUGGUUAGAGCGCACCCCUGAUAAGGGUGAGGUCCCUGGUUCGAGUCCAGGAUGGCCCACCUGCACAGGUGGCAAAAACAAGAAGAGAAGCGAGGAAUCAGCACCUUAUCUUAUCUAUAUAUAUAUAGGAGAGAAUGCUGGCUCUGAGUAAAGAGUCCAGAGGAACCUUGAAAACUGCAUAGAGCUAGGUGAAAAAGCCAAAAAAGAAGACCGCAAGGUCAAGCUAAUAAGGGCUAACGGUGGAUACCUAGGCAC